This 500-nucleotide ribosomal RNA is filed under the name uncultured beta proteobacterium. RNAcentral's name for it is "bacterial SSU rRNA". It matches the Rfam family "Bacterial small subunit ribosomal RNA", at positions 386 to 879 of the family's 1533-position model. The record is from RNAcentral. Lineage: Bacteria; Pseudomonadati; Pseudomonadota; Betaproteobacteria.
AUCCAGCAAUGCCGCGUGGGUGAAGAAGGCCUUCGGGUUGUAAAGCCCUUUCGGCGGGGAAGAAAUCGGUCAGGCGAAUAGUCUGGCCGGAUGACGGUACCCGCAGAAGAAGCACCGGCUAACUACGUGCCAGCAGCCGCGGUAAUACGUAGGGUGCGAGCGUUAAUCGGAAUUACUGGGCGUAAAGGGUGCGCAGGCGGCCCUGUAAGACCGGUGUGAAAUCCCCGGGCUCAACCUGGGAAUUGCGCUGGUGACUGCAGGGCUAGAGUACGGUAGAGGGGGGUGGAAUUCCUGGUGUAGCAGUGAAAUGCGUAGAGAUCAGGAGGACACCGAUGGCGAAGGCAGCCCCCUGGGCCUGUACUGACGCUCAUGCACGAAAGCGUGGGGAGCAAACAGGAUUAGAUACCCUGGUAGUCCACGCCCUAAACGAUGAGAACUAGCCGUCUGGAGUCUUCGUGCUCUGGGUGGCGCAGCUAACGCGUAAGUUCUCCGCNUGGGAG